RNAcentral lists this ribosomal RNA (450 nucleotides) under uncultured bacterium. Its description in RNAcentral is "bacterial SSU rRNA". It matches the Rfam family "Bacterial small subunit ribosomal RNA", at positions 328 to 793 of the family's 1533-position model. The record is from RNAcentral.
CUCUGUGACUCCUACGGGAGGCAGCAGUGGGGAAUAUUGCACAAUGGGCGCAAGCCUGAUGCAGCAACGCCGUGUGAGUGAAGAAGGUUUUCGGAUCGUAAAACUCUGUCCUAAGGGAGAAACAAAUGACGGUACCUUAGGAGGAAGCCCCCGGCUAACUACGUGCCAGCAGCCGCGGUAAUACGUAGGGGGCAAGCGUUAUCCGGAAUCACUGGGCGUAAAGGGUGCGUAGGCGGCUUAGCAAGCCAGGGGUGAAAGGCAUUGGCUCAACCAAUGUAAGCCUUUGGAACUGUUAAGCUUGAGUGCAGGAGAGGUAAGUGGAAUUCCUAGUGUAGAGGUGAAAUUCGUAGAUAUUAGGAGGAACACCAGUGGCGAAGGCGACUUUCUGGACUGUAACUGACGCUGAGGCACGAAAGCGUGGGGAGCGAACAGGAUUAGAUACCCUGGUGA